Molecule: long non-coding RNA, 505 nt
Organism: Bombyx mori (domestic silkworm)
Lineage: Eukaryota; Metazoa; Arthropoda; Insecta; Lepidoptera; Bombycidae
Exons: 2
Source: RefSeq, a predicted model, not a curated record
AAUAUACAGAUUAUGCGAAACGUGAAGAGUUACGUUCUAAGAAGUGUCAAAAGGGACUUCGUAAUUAGACUAGAGUAUAGUUGCAGCAACAAAAAUUGUUAUACCCAGAUACUUUGUCCAAAAAUAGCCCUGGUCAUGUUUAAAAACUGUAUUAGAAAUUGUGUCAACAACAAUCAUCGAAUUUUAUAGUAAUGGAUUAAACACGAAAAUUUAGAAUUUAUGGCUCUAUUAGACAAUCUGUACUUGAAAAAAGAUCGCAGUAUGUAUAUUGCUCAGCCAAGGUUUUUAUUUAAAACCAUCGACCAUGAAAUGAGAAAUUGCAUUUUUAAUUUUUCAUUUAGGCCACAGAUUAAAUUUGCCGCCAAAAGCCGCCGAGAGACCCUCAAGCGAUAAAAUUUGCAUAGAAAAGACAUUGAAAUAUGGAGCUUCAUUUAUUCCUUUACAAUUUUUAUAAAAAUGGAGUGUAAUUAGACAACCAUUACUUUAAAGAGAGUUACGUCUAAAA